GCUUGCGGCGUGCUUAACACAUGCAAGUCGAACGAGAAAGUUCCCUUCGGGGGAUGAGUAAAGUGGCGCACGGGUGAGUAACGCGUAGAUAAUCUACCCAGGUAUUUGGGACAACAUCGGGAAACUGAUGCUAAUACCGGAUACGUUCUUGAAGUAGCGAUGCAUUAAGAAGAAAGGUGGCCACUCCAUGGAAGCUACCGUACUUGGAUGAGUUUGCGUACCAUUAGCUAGUUGGUAGGGUAAAGGCCUACCAAGGCGACGAUGGUUAGCGGGUCUGAGAGGAUGAUCCGCCACACUGGCACUGGAACACGGGCCAGACUCCUACGGGAGGCAGCAGUGAGGAAUUUUGCACAAUGGGGGAAACCCUGAUGCAGCGACGCCGCGUGAGUGAUGAAGGCUUUCGAGUCGUAAAGCUCUGUCAAUAGGGAAGAAGUGUGAGGUGGUUAAUAUCCAUUUCAUUUGACGGUACCUAUAAAGGAAGCACCGGCUAACUCCGUGCCAGCAGCCGCGGUAAUACGGAGGGUGCGAGCGUUGUUCGGAAUUACUGGGCGUAAAGGGCGCGUAGGCGGCCCUGUAAGUCGGGUGUGAAAGUCCACGGCUCAACCGUGGAAGUGCAUCUGAUACUGCA
Molecule: ribosomal RNA, 628 nt
Filed under: uncultured Pseudomonadota bacterium
Lineage: Bacteria; Pseudomonadati; Pseudomonadota
Description: bacterial SSU rRNA
Rfam family: Bacterial small subunit ribosomal RNA
Source: RNAcentral